AUCUAUACGGUGAAACUGCGAAUGGCUCAUUAAAUCAGUUAUCGUUUAUUUGAUAGUACCUUACUACUUGGAUAACCGUGGUAAUUCUAGAGCUAAUACAUGCUAAAAACCCCGACUUCGGGAGGGGUGUAUUUAUUAGAUAAAAAACCAACGCCCUUCGGGGCUCCUUGGUGAUUCAUAAUAACUAAACGAAUCGCAUGGCCUUGCGCCGGCGAUGGUUCAUUCAAAUUUCUGCCCUAUCAACUUUCGAUGGUAGGAUAGUGGCCUACCAUGGUAUCAACGGGUAACGGGGAAUUAGGGUUCUAUUCCGGAGAGGGAGCCUGAGAAACGGCUACCACAUCCAAGGAAGGCAGCAGGCGCGCAAAUUACCCAAUCCCGACACGGGGAGGUAGUGACAAUAAAUACUGAUACAGGGCUCUUACGGGUCUUGUAAUUGGAAUGAGUACAAUUUAAAUCCCUUAACGAGGAACAAUUGGAGGGCAAGUCUGGUGCCAGCAGCCGCGGUAAUUCCAGCUCCAAUAGCGUAUAUUAAAGUUGUUGCAGUUAAAAAGCUCGUAGUUGAACCUUGGGCCUGGCUGGCCGGUCCGCCUCACCGCGUGCACUGGUCCGGCCGGGCCUUUCCUUCUGGGGAUCCGCAUGCCCUUUACUGGGUGUGUCGGGGAACCAGGACUUUUACUUUGAAAAAAUUAGAGUGUUCAAAGCAGGCCUUCGCUCGAAUACAUUAGCAUGGAAUAAUAGAAUAGGACGUGCGGUUCUAUUUUGUUGGUUUCUAGGACCGCCGUAAUGAUUAAUAGGGAUAGUCGGGGGCAUCAGUAUUCAAUUGUCAGAGGUGAAAUUCUUGGAUUUAUUGAAGACUAACUACUGCGAAAGCAUUUGCCAAGGAUGUUUUCAUUAAUCAGUGAACGAAAGUUAGGGGAUCGAAGACGAUCAGAUACCGUCGUAGUCUUAACCAUAAACUAUGCCGACUAGGGAUCGGGCGAUGUUACUAUUCUGACUCGCUCGGCACCUUACGAGAAAUCAAAGUCUUUGGGUUCCU
Molecule: ribosomal RNA, 1036 nt
Filed under: Acrogenospora carmichaeliana
Lineage: Eukaryota; Fungi; Ascomycota; Dothideomycetes; Minutisphaerales; Acrogenosporaceae
Description: SSU rRNA
Rfam family: Eukaryotic small subunit ribosomal RNA
Source: RNAcentral